Molecule: long non-coding RNA, 798 nt
Organism: Cotesia glomerata
Lineage: Eukaryota; Metazoa; Arthropoda; Insecta; Hymenoptera; Braconidae
Exons: 3
Source: RefSeq, a predicted model, not a curated record
UGAAAAAAUUUUCUGGUAUCGUCAGAUAUGAAAAUUAUUUAUUACAAUCUGUUCUAGAAACUCGUACGUUAAUUGACAUGUUUUACGAAACAAAAAUUGGCUUUAUAGUGGGUUUUAUUGAAAACUAAUCUAUACUAAUAUUAUAAAGAGGAAAGAUUUGUUUGUUUGUUUGUUUGCAUUAAAUAGGCUUCGAAACUACUGAACCGAUUUGAAAAAUUCUUUCACUGUUGGGAAGCUACACCAUCCCCGGGGGACAUAGGCUAUUAUAUUAUAAUUAAUUUUGAAAUUUUUGUUAAAUACCCGUGUGAAGAUGGGGCGGAUUGCUAGUGUUAAAUAAUCUUCUUAAAGGAUUACAUAAAAAUAAUAUUUACUCUGAAAAUCAAUAUCUCAAACUCAAUUCUCUUGUAAGGAGACCAUUCAGCGAUCAUGUCUCUGUCGGAGAUUCUGAACACACUCUUUGGUCGAAAAUUAAAUAUGGACAUAUCAAGCUAUAUCAGAAAAUUUUUUUCACAGGAGAGUGUAAUUACAUAAAUUUGUAUAAAUUUUUCUAUUUUGAUUGCAGAUUAAAAGGACACAUAUAAUAAUAUAUAAACUCGCAGCUGAAUAUCCGAAUCAUAUGAAUAUAAAACAUAAAAUAGAAGAAUUGUCCACGGAAUUGUUCCAUAAAAAUGUAGAUUUCAGCGCUUAUACCUCUCGACAACAGUUUUCUGACAUCGGUUUUUAAAACGGCACUAACUUAUGUUAUCAUUUUACUGCAAACAGUGGAUUAAAAAUAUAUAAAGCCAGAAAUUUAACUGU